Molecule: RNA transcript, 2211 nt
Organism: Panicum virgatum (switchgrass)
Lineage: Eukaryota; Viridiplantae; Streptophyta; Magnoliopsida; Poales; Poaceae
Gene name: OVARIAN TUMOR DOMAIN-containing deubiquitinating enzyme 4-like
Exons: 7
Source: RefSeq, a predicted model, not a curated record
GUGUAGGUUGUUGGCGAAUCCUCUGGAACUUGCGCAUUCCGCUUCGCCCUCGCCCCACCACCGAGCCAGGCGCUGCUGACAUCUUCCACCCUCCCAUUCCCUCCUCGCCGCAAUUCCAUUCGAUCCCACCAGUCCACCACCCAUCUCGCCAUUGUCCCGGCUUCGAAGCAAAACCCGCCCGUCUCGGCUGUCUCUUCCCGACCGCACAAGGAAGAGGGGAAGGCGGUGGAUUAAUCUUGCCGCGCGGGUGUUGCCGUGCCCCCUCCCGCGCCUCCUGCGGCGUUCGGACUUCCUCUCUCUGGAUUCCUUCAGUUCGGAGCUAAUACUGCUUUAACUGGAUGCGGCUCUACUCACCUGCACUCUGUUUGUGGCGAUCAAGCAUGCAUUACUAUCCUAAUCAGUUCCAAGGAGGCUUCACACACAAUAUGGCCUUGUGGAAAUGCUCGCACUCGCCGUCAAGCGUUUACCAUGUGAAAUCUUCUCAACCACAAAGUAUAAAGUACUUUGUAAGCUUGAUGGGCCAACAAUUCCGUUGUGGACUGUCAACCAGAGAGGGUAGUCUCAGCAUAAAGCUUGACAUGCCUUCAUAUGAAAAGUCGAGGAUCGGCUGGAACUGGAAAGGUAUGCAUCAGAAGCUUGGAGGUGUAGCUGGAGGACUUUGCUUUGGUUUUUCGGUUACUGGACUAGCAAGCGCUGAGGUUCCUAUCAUUAGAAUCAACGAUAAUGCCGAAACUUCAUCAUCAGCUACCGGUUCAACUCAUGGGAAGAAAGUAUACACAGACUAUUCUGUCACUGGUAUUACUGGAGAUGGUAGAUGUUUAUUCCGCUCUGUGAUUCAUGGUGCAUGUAUUAGAUCAGGGAAACCCAUACCUAAUGAAGACCUUCAGAGAAAACUAGCUGAUGAUUUGAGGGCGAUGGUCGCUGAUGAAUUUGUGAAGAGACGUGAAGAGACUGAAUGGUUCGUUGAGGGAGAUUUUGAUACAUAUGUAUCGCAUAUUAGGAAGCCACAUGUGUGGGGAGGCGAGCCAGAAUUGUUCAUGGCUUCCCAUGUUCUUCAGAUGCCAAUAACUGUUUACAUGCACGAUGAAGAUGCAGGUGGUCUGAUAGCAAUUGCAGAAUAUGGCCAGCAGUAUGGGAAAGAGGACCCAAUCCAGGUCUUGUAUCAUGGUUUUGGCCAUUAUGAUGCUCUACAGAUUCCAGCAAAGAUUGGUUCAAAGCGGAAACUGUAGAAAUUGUUGAGUGCAAAAUUGAAAAGGUAAGUCAUGGGGUGAUAUCUUUCCUGUUCUUCAUAUGUAAAUAGACAAUUACUAGAGCGCAAGAGCGAGGUGCUAACCCUGUUUCAGUGUUUAUAUCGCUUACUGAACAUUUCAAGCUAUAUGCACAUGUACAUAUGUGAAUGUGGAAGAUGGCUUUGAUUAGAACUUGAAAUGGCAUCAUCUCACCAAGCAGAAACGCUGUUGCAUGAUUCAAUACUUCCCCAAUGCUUGAUGAAUUAGGAACAGAGCAUCACUUAUACAGAAAUGCGUACUAUAUUCUGUCUGAAUUUCUGUAUUGAAUGUCUGAAUUUCUACCGUAGAAAUUCUUUUUUCCACGUAGUCUAGUAUGCCCUAAACCUGAAAACUGAACUCGUCGUUCUGUAACUGGUUGUACAUCAGAAGUCAUUACUCAGGACAGGCCCCCCGUCAUAUUGUACUCUAGUCAGCAUGUACCUGUACGUACGCGAGCGGGGGGACCCAAGAACGGAUGCUUUGAUUUUCAGCAAUGCCAGUAUCUGCUUUGAAUGAGCAUGUGAAGAACACCUCAGUCUCAGACAACGAGUCGGCCUGGGGUUGAAUUGGCAACAAACCCUGUGUGAUCCUCAAGCUCGAUGAUAGACAAAAACUAUUGAGGCAAGGCUGCAGAAGGGUCUGGUUUGCUGGAACGGCGGCUUCACCUUCAGAAGAGGUUCAUCAGAUGGACAUGCUACAUGGUGGGUGCAUCUGCUCGCUAUGAAACGGAGCUGCUGAAAGGACAGAGCAGGUUGCCCGAAGUGCAGCUGUGAAGCAACGCCCGGCAUGGCAACAUCCCUAGUAGUCGGUAGAGAAGAGAGAGAGAGAGGUGACCGAGUCCUGAUCCUUGUUUCUGAAACGUCCUCGCGCUGACAGUAGGCUCGCUCUGUGUAACAAGGAACUGCUUACCAGUACGCUAUGGCGGAGUAUUUCCGGCCUGUGA